UUUCUCUUCAUAUUCCCCAUUUCAAUUUUCAUCACAAUUCAUCCUCUUCACGCCGCUUUCCUUUUCUGAAAGUGAUAAAAGCUCUCUCUAUCUACAACAAUGGUUUCUCCAUUACAAUCCUAGAUCCGCUUUAUUUCUCUCUCUUCUGGGUCCUUCCCUUUCUCGGUUUCUCAUUCCUUCUUUUGGUCCGGCGUUCCGCGGCUUCUCGCUGGUGGUGUGGUGGUGUGAGGUGUCCUUCUCGCCGUCACUUUCUCAUAGAAAAUCAGAGUUUGUCCAUUUUAAUUUAUUUCUCAAGGAAUACUUUAAGUUUUGUUAUGAUUUUCGUUCUUAAUUUCUGAAUUUUUGCUGUGAAUCAAAGAAUCCUUUGAUGAAAUACCAAUGUUAAUUUCUCCAUAUAUAUACAAGUUGUGAUUUAUGUGGGUGGAAUAUUACUGAAUUUCAAUAUUAGUGGUUUUUUUUCCGGCAAUUGUAUUUGAUUUGGUAAAAGUGAGUUAUUAUUGGAUGAAAAUGAUUGAUUUUUUAGAUCUGAUUUGUUGAUGAAUUUGCUAGUCUUUAGAGUGCCUGAUUACUCUCAUAAUCUUAAAUUCUAUGAAUUUUUGCUUAAUGUCAUUCACCGUAUAUCGAAUAACUGUUGGGUAAGAUUUAUACUACCUAUAUUUUAUUUUAUUUUAUUUUUUACUCAUCUAACUCUAAUUUCAUUUGGUGUUUUUCUUCAGUUAUCACUAGUAAUUGGUUUCUAUGUAGUAUGUUGUUAAUUAGUUGAUUAUUUUUCAGAUUAUUUUCAUUCUCUAUCUAUUUUUUGGUACUCUAUUUUUCUGAUUAUUUUCAUUAUUAAUUUUUUUUUUCAACGCGCCACUUGACUCCACCGAGUCCUACUCCCUCGAGGAGAUCAUUUCCCACUCUCGCUCCGGCGGAUUGUUGGACGUUACUAGAAAUCCCUUUUCAAUUCGCGAGUUGGGAAGACGAAUUGGCCUUAUGGGUUUGGUGUUUGGUCGAAGGAAAAGUGGGUUCUUCCUGAGAUUGUUGAGGACGACAUUGUUUUGGCUUUCGAAGAUUUGUGUGAUUUCUUUACAAGAAAUGCUCAAUCAAAAGGAGAUGGAAAAAGGAGUUGGAAAAUGGAGUAUUCAAGUCUUUGUUAUUGUAAUUGUAAAUUUCUGUAAAUCCAUUUUUUUUGUUGCAUAUUAUGUUGGAUAUUUUUUUGUAUCACAUCAAUUUUAUUUUAAUCCAUUGUUAUUCCUGUGGUCAUAAACUGAAAAUUACAGUUUACUUAA
Molecule: long non-coding RNA, 1271 nt
Organism: Chenopodium quinoa (quinoa)
Lineage: Eukaryota; Viridiplantae; Streptophyta; Magnoliopsida; Caryophyllales; Amaranthaceae
Exons: 2
Source: RefSeq, a predicted model, not a curated record